Molecule: long non-coding RNA, 616 nt
Organism: Pan troglodytes (chimpanzee)
Lineage: Eukaryota; Metazoa; Chordata; Mammalia; Primates; Hominidae
Exons: 3
Source: RefSeq, a predicted model, not a curated record
ACUGUUUCCCAUCUACUCAGAGGCUGAGGCGGGAGAAUCGCUUGAACCCGGAAGGCGGAGGUUGCAGUGAGCUGAAAUCACGCCAUUGCGCUCCAGCCUGGGUGACAGAGCAAGACUCCGUCACAAAAAAAAAGAAAAAAGAAACACCAGUUUUCUGAUUCCACCGAAGACCUACUGCCUCAGAAACUAUGAGGGCAGAACCCAGCAAUCUGUGCUUUCUUUCACAAGCCCUCCAGGAGUUGCUGAAAUUUAAGAAUCAUUGCCCCAAAAAGUGGCCCUCAUAAUGAUGCCAGAUGGGAUCUUACUCUGUUGCCCAGGCUGGAGUGCAGUGGUGCGAUCUCGGCUCUCUGCAACCUCCGCCUCCCAGGUUCAAGUGAUUCUCCUGCCUCAGCCUCCUGAGUAGCUGGGAUUUCAGUGUAUUCUCACUGGAUUAGCACUCCUAGCCCUGAGGACUCUUGGGCCAGUUUUAUUACUAAAAGAAGAAUUACAGUUUCGCUACACAGUGACCUUGCAAGAAGUAUCAGCACAGUUCAAUUUCAAAUUCUCCUCAAAUAUCAAAUAUGUUCUUGGUAUAUUUUGCUUAGCAGUUUAUUGCCUUCUCAUCUCCACUGUUUUU